RNAcentral lists this ribosomal RNA (454 nucleotides) under Streptococcus sp. oral taxon C65. RNAcentral's name for it is "bacterial SSU rRNA". It matches the Rfam family "Bacterial small subunit ribosomal RNA", at positions 28 to 461 of the family's 1533-position model. Lineage: Bacteria; Bacillati; Bacillota; Bacilli; Lactobacillales; Streptococcaceae. The record is from RNAcentral.
GACGAACGCUGGCGGCGUGCCUAAUACAUGCAAGUAGAACGCUGAAGAGAGGAGCUUGCUCUUCUUGGAUGAGUUGCGAACGGGUGAGUAACGCGUAGGUAACCUGCCUUGUAGCGGGGGAUAACUAUUGGAAACGAUAGCUAAUACCGCAUAACAAUGGAUGACACAUGUCAUUUAUUUGAAAGGGGCAAUUGCUCCACUACAAGAUGGACCUGCGUUGUAUUAGCUAGUAGGUGAGGUAACGGCUCACCUAGGCGACGAUACAUAGCUGACCUGAGAGGGUGAUCGGCCACACUGGGACUGAGACACGGCCCAGACUCCUACGGGAGGCAGCAGUAGGGAAUCUUCGGCAAUGGGGGCAAACCCCUGACCGAGCAAACGCCCGCGUGAGUGAAAGAAAGGGUUUUCCGGAUUCGUAAAAGCUUCUGUUGUAAAGUUCAAAGAAACCGAAGUU